GGCCUUGUAGCUCAACGGAUAGAGCAAGUCCCUUCUAAGGACGAGAUGGAAGUUCGAUUCUUCCCAAGGUCACAA
Molecule: transfer RNA, 75 nt
Filed under: Candidatus Woesebacteria bacterium RIFOXYD1_FULL_41_28
Lineage: Bacteria; Candidatus Woeseibacteriota
Description: tRNA-Arg
Rfam family: tRNA
About the family: Transfer RNA (tRNA) molecules are approximately 80 nucleotides in length.
Source: RNAcentral